GGGUGUGUUUGACGAGAUGCA
This 21-nucleotide non-coding RNA is filed under the name Arabidopsis thaliana (thale cress). Lineage: Eukaryota; Viridiplantae; Streptophyta; Magnoliopsida; Brassicales; Brassicaceae. The record is from RNAcentral.